UAUGUGAUCGUCUCUCGCAUAUCAAUAAGCGGAGGAAAAGAAACUAACAAGGAUUCCCCUAGUAACGGCGAGUGAAGCGGGAAGAGCUCAAAUUUGAAAUCUUAAAGGGUUUCCCUUUACGAAUUGUAGUUUAAAGAAGUGUUUUCUGUUGAGGUUUUGGUAAAAGUUCUUUGGAAUAGGACAUCAUAGAGGGUGAGAAUCCCGUAUUUGACCUUUACUUUCAACUUUGUGAUACACUUUCAAAGAGUCGGAUUGUUUGGGAAUGCAGUCCAAAAUGGGUGGUAAAUUUCAUCUAAAGCUAAAUAUUGGCGAGAGACCGAUAGCGAACAAGUACCGUGAGGGAAAGAUGAAAAGAACUUUGAAAAGAGAGUUAAACAGUACGCGAAAUUGUCAAAAGGGAAGCGUUUGACACCAGUGUUGUUUUUCUGAAAAUCAAUUAAAGAACUGUUUAUGCUAAGUUGUUUAGACUUUAUCAGCUAACUGUUUAGUUUUGAGCUUUUCUUUAAUGCACUUUUCAGUUAACAAGUCAACAUCAAUUUCUUUUGCUGUAAAAAAGCUUGAGGAAGGUGGCUUGAGAUUCGUCUUAAGUGUUUAUAGCCUCUUGCCUAUGCAGUCGGAGAGAUUGAGGUCUGCAGCGUAGAUCCUUCGGGGCUAAAUGCAUUUGUGCUAAGUUAUAGCAUUUUAUAGACAACUUGUUGACUAUGAUUUGUCUUGUAGCUUACUCGCUUAUGUUAUUUUACCUACGCUUAGGAUGUUGAAGACUCUACAGAGAUA
This 774-nucleotide ribosomal RNA is filed under the name uncultured Neocallimastigales. RNAcentral's name for it is "partial large subunit ribosomal RNA". It matches the Rfam family "Eukaryotic large subunit ribosomal RNA", at positions 24 to 633 of the family's 3401-position model. Lineage: Eukaryota; Fungi; Neocallimastigomycota; Neocallimastigomycetes; Neocallimastigales. The record is from RNAcentral.